This 1057-nucleotide long non-coding RNA is filed under the name Parus major (Great Tit). RNAcentral's name for it is "lncRNA (ENSPMJG00000002304.1)". The record is from RNAcentral. Lineage: Eukaryota; Metazoa; Chordata; Aves; Passeriformes; Paridae.
AAUCCCCCCCGAGACCCCGCCCCAACAUGGCGGCGGCGGCGGGGGGCGGGGUCUCGCCGGGGGGCGGAGCCUCGCUGGAGGAGGAGUGCGAGGUUGUGCGCGUGCGCGUCAAGGUAAGGGAUGGGGCGUGGUUGUGGGCGGGGCCUCGCGUGGGCGCGGUUAUUAUGAUGAGUUGUGGGCGGAGUUAAGGGUGGGGUCACGUGGGUUCGGACAACCAAUCAGCUCGGCGAGGCGGGUGUGGCGCCGGCGGGAAAUUUUCCCGCCUCUCGGGUCACGUGAAGGCCCGGCAGCCAAUCAGCGGCGCGGGAGGCUCUCCGCGUUGUCGCGGUGAGGGGAGAGUGCCGCCAUGUUGAGUCGCCGUGAGGGGCCGGGGGGGCUCCGGGACCCUCCGGGACCCCCGCGGGACCCUCCGGGACCCUCUGACGCUCCUCCCGCAGAAGAACGAGGGGCAGCAGCCGCCCGAGUUCCGCUCGUUUGCCGUGGACCCGCAGAUCACCUCGCUGGAUGUGCUGCAGCACAUCCUGGCCCGAGCCUUCGACCUGCAGGGGAAGAAAAGCUUCGUGCUGAGCUUUGCAGCACGGGAUGGGCAGGGCCAGGACACCUUUGUGCCUCUGCUGAGCGAUGGUGACCUGGCCAAUGCCUUCACCUGCGCCCGGCCCACCCUGAGGCUGCGCCUGGACGUCAGGAACCCCCCCGACAGUGAGUGACACACCUGGGACACACCUGGGCACAAGGGGACACAGCUGGAACACAGCUGGGCACAGGUGGACACACCUGGGUGGGUGGGGACGCACCUGGGAGAGUGGGGACACACCUGGGCACAGGGGGACGCACCUGGGACACACCUGGGAGAAUGGGGACACACCUGGGAGAGUGGGGACACACCCAAGGACCCACCCCUGGGACACUCAGGUGCUUUUGGGUGGGUGUCAGGUGGUGCUGAGAGCCUGGGGGAGGGUCCCAGGGCGGGGCUCAGGUGUGUUGGGUGGGGCUUCCAGGUUCCUCAGGUACCUGUAGCUCAGGUGUGUCAGGGGAUCUCCCAGGUCUCUCAGUUACC